This is a long non-coding RNA of Culex pipiens pallens (northern house mosquito), 1580 nucleotides long. RefSeq lists it as uncharacterized. NCBI's taxonomy places the organism in Eukaryota, Metazoa, Arthropoda, Insecta, Diptera, Culicidae. The record is from RefSeq and is a predicted model, not a curated record. The transcript has 3 exons.
GCUGGUUUUAACGAAAUGGUUAUAAGUUAUAACCAAGUUAAAACCAACCCGUUCGCACGGGCGCGAGAGGUUUUAACGGUUUUAACUGUUUUGACAGAUCACAGCAAUCAGUGAAUAUUCUGUGCUGUCAUUUAUUUUCUUUUUUUUUUGUGAUGCUCUUUUCUUGACCAUCUGUUUCCGGUGAACCCUGAGGGCCAGAUUUUUGGCUCUUUUCUCUUCCGGUUAUGGGUAGGAUGAUUAACAGCCGGCUGAACUGCUGACCGAGGUUCAAAGUUGGUCACCGUUGCAACCAACUGGGACAUCCCUUCUCAAGGAAUCUCGUUGAAGCUGGACCAUUAAGAACUGCGCGCAUGAACGUAUCGACGAAACGUUCUACCUGACCGUUGGACCGUUGGGAUGAAACGGGGCGGUGGUGACGGGGCCGAUACCUUUCUAACUGAUUUCCGUUAUCCGAUACCAGGCUCUCUGGCAUCCUCAGAUGUGCUAACAAGCUUCGAAGGAUGGUAAUCGUUGCGAUGCUUAUGAUCAAGCGUUUCUGCACAAUAUCUGGCCACAUGGAGUAGGAGUCUACCAGCAGAACCAGCAGAAAGUACUUGCCGUCGUUCUGUCCACCGUAGUCGAGUGGACCUGUUGAUUUUGUCCAAGGGAUCAGAGGAGCUUGCAACGGUUCCUUGGCAGCAGCGGUACAGUUGGACUCGUUCGCACGUAAUCAGCGAAGGCCAGUACGCUGAAAGUGCGGGCCCCAACUUUCAUGCCGUCGAUUCCAGAUUGGCCAUGGUGGAGUUGGUCAAGAAAUCGCUUGCGCAGGUCAGAAAGAAACACGAGACGGUCGCAGAACAGGAUGCACCCUUGCAGAGUCACGAGCGAUUCGCUUUGAUUGUGGAACCACUCGAGAUCGUGAUCUGCGCAGGCAGGCAGCGCUUGGACGUACCGGUAGACCUUGUUCAGGACCGGGUCCUUGAGGCUGCAAUCUCGCACCGUAUUGUAGCUGAAUGCAAAACGUCGAACGACUCAAACGCUGCUGAUUUGACGGCAUCCUCGAGUGUGAAGAGUGCGAUCGUCGGGUUUUACGUGGCGGUUGAUGAGCCAAGACAGAAUGUCGACAUACCCAAAUUUGCCCGUGGCCAUGUACAAAUGUUUGUAUCACUCCCGGAAGAACGUAACGAGAAAACAAGAAGCUGAAAGAAUCGAUUUCCAUGAUCUUGGCUGCGCGAAAACUUGCUUCUAAAGAUGAAAAUUAAGACUGAGGUGAAAAAGGUUACCGAUGGAGCAAAAGGAUGUUGUUGAGAAGCUGACCAAACUUCGAAGUUUCUUUUACGCGUCUAUCUCGAUGUGUACAUACCCUAGUAACAUUUUUAAACUUACAGGUUUUAUCAUGGUUCUGAAAACCCUCAUACGUCCUAAAUAGGCUUUUAUGGCCUACUUAACGGUACACAUCAACCAUCGCUUUUGCACCCAGAUUUCUGUUACAGACAUUUUAGUAUCUUCAAAAAUACGGGAACUAUCGAUAUGAUUUUUUAUUCAUCCCCUAAAUUACAGUCUUCAAAGUUAUUUACAAUAAAGUUUGACCAUUUUGACAA